AUUGAACGCUGGCGGCAUGCUUUACACAUGCAAGUCGAACGGUAACAGGUUAAGCUGACGAGUGGCGAACGGGUGAGUAAUGCAUCGGAACGUGCCCGAUCGUGGGGGAUAACGCAGCGAAAGCUGCGCUAAUACCGCAUACGAUCUGAGGAUGAAAGCGGGGGACCGUAAUGCCUCGCGCGAUCGGAGCGGCCGAUGUCAGAUUAGGUAGUUGGUGGGGUAAAGGCGCACCAAGCCAACGAUCUGUAGCUGGUCUGAGAGGACGACCAGCCACACUAGUACUGAGGCACGGCCCAGACUCCGACGGGAGGCAGCAGUGGGGAAUUUUGGAAAAUGGGCGAAAGCCUGAUCCAGCAAUGCCGCGUGCAGUAAGAAGGCCUUCGGGGUGUAAACUGCUUUUGUACUGAGCGAAAAGGUCCCCUCUAAUACAGGGGGCUCAUGACGGUACCGUAAGAAUAAGCACCGGCUAACUACGUGCCAGCCGCCGCAGUAA
This 493-nucleotide ribosomal RNA is filed under the name uncultured bacterium. Its description in RNAcentral is "partial 16S ribosomal RNA". It matches the Rfam family "Bacterial small subunit ribosomal RNA", at positions 30 to 523 of the family's 1533-position model. The record is from RNAcentral.